RNAcentral lists this ribosomal RNA (407 nucleotides) under uncultured microorganism. RNAcentral's name for it is "bacterial SSU rRNA". It matches the Rfam family "Bacterial small subunit ribosomal RNA", at positions 509 to 917 of the family's 1533-position model. The record is from RNAcentral.
CAGCCGCCGCGGUAAUACGUAGGGGGCGAGCGUUACCCGGAUUCACUGGGCGUAAAGGGGGCGCAGGCGAUCCAGUAUGUCGGGCGUGAAAUCCCACAGCUCAACUGUGGAAUUGCGCCCGAAACUACUGGGUUUGGGGCUGGUAGAGGGAGACGGAACUGCUGGUGUAGGGGUGAAAUCCGUAGAUAUCAGCAGGAACGCCGGUGGGGAAGCCGGUCUCCUGGGCCAAGCCCGACGCUGAGGCCCGAAAGCUAGGGGAGCAAACCGGAUGAGAUACCCGGGUAGUCCUAGCCGUAAACGAUGCCCACUAGGUGUGGGGGAGUCAUUCCUCCGUGCUGUAGCUAACGCGUUAAGUGGGCCGCCUGGGGAGUACGCCCGCAAGGGUGAAACUUAAAGGAAUUGGCGGG